This 403-nucleotide ribosomal RNA is filed under the name uncultured bacterium. RNAcentral describes it as "bacterial SSU rRNA". It matches the Rfam family "Bacterial small subunit ribosomal RNA", at positions 354 to 774 of the family's 1533-position model. The record is from RNAcentral.
GUGGGGAAUAUUGGACAAUGGGCGAAAGCCUGAUCCAGCCAUGCCGCGUGAGUGAUGAAGGCCCUAGGGUUGUAAAGCUCUUUUGUGCGGGAAGAUAAUGACGGUACCGCAAGAAUAAGCCCCGGCUAACUUCGUGCCAGCAGCCGCGGUAAUACGAAGGGGGCUAGCGUUGCUCGGAAUCACUGGGCGUAAAGGGUGCGUAGGCGGGUUUCUAAGUCAGAGGUGAAAGCCUGGAGCUCAACUCCAGAACUGCCUUUGAUACUGGAAGUCUUGAGUUCGGGAGAGGUGAGUGUAACUGCGAGUGUAGAGGUGAAAUUCGUAGAUAUUCGCAAGAACACCAGUGGCGAAGGCGGCUCACUGGCCCGAUACUGACGCUGAGGCACGGAAGCGUGGGGAGCAAACA